RNAcentral lists this ribosomal RNA (433 nucleotides) under uncultured Alphaproteobacteria bacterium. RNAcentral describes it as "bacterial SSU rRNA". It matches the Rfam family "Bacterial small subunit ribosomal RNA", at positions 29 to 507 of the family's 1533-position model. Lineage: Bacteria; Pseudomonadati; Pseudomonadota; Alphaproteobacteria. The record is from RNAcentral.
AACGAACGCUGGCGGCAUGCCUAACACAUGCAAGUCGAACGAGACCUUCGGGUCUAGUGGCGCACGGGUGCGUAACGCGUGGGAAUCUGCCCUAGGGUGCGGAAUAACUCAGAGAAAUUUGAGCUAAUACCGCAUAAUGACUUCGGUCCAAAGAUUUAUCGCCCUGGGAUGAGCCCGCGUCGGAUUAGCUAGUUGGUAGGGUAAAAGCCUACCAAGGCGACGAUCCGUAGCUGGUCUGAGAGGAUGAUCAGCCACACUGGGACUGAGACACGGCCCAGACUCCUACGGGAGGCAGCAGUGGGGAAUAUUGGACAAUGGGGGAAACCCUGAUCCAGCAAUGCCGCGUGAGUGAUGAAGGCCUUAGGGUUGUAAAGCUCUUUUGCCAGGGAUGAUAAUGACAGUACCUGGAGAAUAAGCCCCGGCUAACUCCGUG